ACAGGACUUCCAGCCGUGACCGGUGUCUAAGUUCUUUGGUGGCACCAGAAUGUCAGAACAUCCCUGCGAGGCAACAACAAAGUCCACAACGCUGCUUACUCUGCGGGGAAGGAUGAAGCUCCAGUUCAAAGGCCACCUUUGCUGACCCGGUCCUUCCAAGACCUUCAGAAACCCUGAGUCCAUUGUGCCUGGCAGCAACACACAGAUGAUGAGAAGGCAAAACCCAUGACUUCCGCUGGGGAACAUCCAUUUGGCGGCUGCUUUCGGAUGUCAGCGGUUAGCGUUGAGUCUCCGGCACCGAGGAGACCGAAGUAACCCAGCAGAAGGAGCGUUACGAGAGGCAGUCACAACAAGGAAGGGUGAUGGAGAAGGAGCCGAGCCUCAAAGCAGAAGCCGGCGGCAAGACGAGCACCUGGAAACGCCCUGCCGAGAGGGAGAGAGAAGUGUGUGCCUGAGCCGGACCUCCCUCUUCCUCCCAGGUCCCUCCUUGCCCCCCCCCCCCAAGGAAGCCCAAUAGGAUGGCAGGAGAGACAGCUUGCCAGCAAGCCCCUUGCUAGAGCUUUUUGCCCAAGGGGGCACCCUGGGAAAGAUCAGCACCGGACGAGGAGUCCCCUUCCCACCUCCUCCGACUGGAUGUUCCCUUCAUGGUCCGAAGCCAUGGAGCGCAAGGAGAGAAUGGCAAACACUAA
Zootoca vivipara (common lizard) is the source of this 689-nucleotide non-coding RNA. The record is from RefSeq and is a predicted model, not a curated record. Lineage: Eukaryota; Metazoa; Chordata; Lepidosauria; Squamata; Lacertidae.